UACAGAGGUCUCAAGCGUUGUUCGGAUUCAUUGGGCGUAAAGGGUGCGUAGGUGGCGCGAUAAGUCGGGUGUGAAAUCCCGGAGCUUAACUCCGAAAUUGCAUUCGAUACUGCCGUGCUCGAGGACUGGAGAGGAGACUGGAAUUCAUGGUGUAGCAGUGAAAUGCGUAGAGAUCAUGAGGAAGACCAGUGGCGAAGGCGGGUCUCUGGACAGUUCCUGACACUGAGGCACGAAGGCCAGGGGAGCAAACGGG
Molecule: ribosomal RNA, 253 nt
Filed under: uncultured bacterium
Lineage: Bacteria
Description: partial 16S ribosomal RNA
Rfam family: Bacterial small subunit ribosomal RNA
Source: RNAcentral